This 468-nucleotide ribosomal RNA is filed under the name uncultured bacterium. Its description in RNAcentral is "partial 16S ribosomal RNA". It matches the Rfam family "Bacterial small subunit ribosomal RNA", at positions 28 to 507 of the family's 1533-position model. The record is from RNAcentral.
GACGAACGCUGGCGGCGUGCUUAACACAUGCAAGUCGAACGGAGAGGCCCUGCUUUUGUGGGGUGCUCGAGUGGCGAACGGGUGAGUAACACGUGAGUAACCUGCCCUUGACUUUGGGAUAACUUCAGGAAACUGGGGCUAAUACCGGAUAGGAGCUCCUGCUGCAUGGUGGGGGUUGGAAAGUUUCGGCGGUUGGGGAUGGACUCGCGGCUUAUCAGCUUGUUGGUGGGGUAGUGGCUUACCAAGGCUUUGACGGGUAGCCGGCCUGAGAGGGUGACCGGCCACAUUGGGACUGAGAUACGGCCCAGACUCCUACGGGAGGCAGCAGUGGGGAAUAUUGCACAAUGGGCGGAAGCCUGAUGCAGCAACGCCGCGUGCGGGAUGACGGCCUUCGGGUUGUAAACCGCUUUCGCCUGUGACGAAGCGUGAGUGACGGUAAUGGGUGAAGAAGCACCGGCUAACUACGUG